AACGAACGCUGGCGGCAUGCCUAACACAUGCAAGUCGAACGAGACCUUCGGGUCUAGUGGCGCACGGGUGCGUAACGCGUGGGAACCUGCCCUUAGGUUCGGAAUAACUCCCCGAAAGGGGUGCUAAUACCGGAUAAUUUCUUCGGACCAAAGAUUUAUCGCCUUUGGAUGGGCCCGCGUUGGAUUGGCUAGUUGGUAGGGUAAAAGCCUACCACGGCGACGAUCCUUAGCUGGUCACAGAGGAUGGGCAGCGACUCUGGGAGGGGGACACGGCCCAGACUCCUACGGGAGGGAGGAGUGGGGAAUAUUGGACAACGGGCGAAGGCAUGAUGGCGCAAGGCCGCGUGAGUGAUGAAGGCCUGAGGGUUGUAAAGCUCUUUUACACGGGAUGAUAAUGACAGUACCGGGAGAAUAAGCACCGGCUAACUCCGUG
Molecule: ribosomal RNA, 433 nt
Filed under: uncultured bacterium
Lineage: Bacteria
Description: partial 16S ribosomal RNA
Rfam family: Bacterial small subunit ribosomal RNA
Source: RNAcentral